CAAUAGCGUAUAUUAAAGUUGUUGCGGUAAAAAAGCUCGUAGUUGGAUUUCUGUUGAGGACGACCGGUCCAUACCACGUAUGCGUAUCUGGCUCGGCCUCGGCAUCCUCUCGAAAGACGUUUCUGCGCUUGAUUGCGUGGAGCGGAUCUCGGGACUUUUACUUUGAGGAAAUUAGAGUGUUCACGGCAGGCUAUCGCCAGAAUACAUUAGCAUGGAAUAAUACUAUAGGAUCUCGGUUUCUAUUUUUGUUGGUUUCUAGAAUUGAGAUAAUGAUUAAUAGGGACAAUUGGGGCAUUAGUAUCAACACGUCAGAGGUGGAAUUCUUGGAUUGUGUUGCGACUAACUACUGCGAAAGCUAUUUGCCAAGGAUGUUUUACAUU
Molecule: ribosomal RNA, 380 nt
Filed under: uncultured eukaryote
Lineage: Eukaryota
Description: SSU rRNA
Rfam family: Eukaryotic small subunit ribosomal RNA
Source: RNAcentral